UGUCUCUGGUAACUCUUUUCUCCUCUUGUGACAUGUAUAUGAAUAGGGGAUACUGUGGGACUGAAGAAAAGGAAAAAGAAAGAAGAAAAUGAAUCUGCUCUCUGU
RNAcentral lists this non-coding RNA (105 nucleotides) under Chromera velia. The record is from RNAcentral. Lineage: Eukaryota; Chromeraceae.